Molecule: unclassified non-coding RNA, 5160 nt
Filed under: Eurytemora carolleeae
Lineage: Eukaryota; Metazoa; Arthropoda; Copepoda; Calanoida; Temoridae
Description: uncharacterized LOC111700146
Source: RNAcentral
UCUCAGAUAAUAUAAACCCUGUACUGUUCUAAACCAUUGUUUCUCAGAUAAUGUAAACCCUGUACUGUUCUAACCCAUUGUAUCUCAGAUAAUUUAAACCCUGUACUGUUCUAAACCAUUGUUUCUCAGAUAAUGUAAACCCUGUACUGUUCUUAACCAUUGUUUCUCAGACAAUGUUAACCCUGUACUGUUCUAAACCAUUGUUUCUCAGAUAAUGUAAACCCUGUACUGUUCUAAACCAUUGUUUCUCAGAUAAUGUAAACCCUGUACUGUUCUCACCCAUUGUUUCUCAGAUGAUGUAAACCCUGUACUGUUCUAAACCAUUGUUUCUUAGAUAAUGUAAACCCUGUACUGUUCUAAACCAUUAUUUCUCAGAUACUGUACACCCAUGUACUGUUCUAAACCAUUGUUUCUCAGAUAAUGUAAACCCUGUACUGUUUUAAACCAUUGUUUCUCAGAUAAUGUAAACCCAUGUACUGUUCUAAACCAUUGUUCUCAGAUAAUGUAAACCCUGUACUGUUCUAAACCAUUGUUUCUCAGAUAAUGUAAACCUUGUACUGUUUUAAACCAUUGUUUCUCAGAUAAUGUAAACCCUGUACUGUUUUAAACCAUUGUUUCUCAUAUAAUGUAUCCCUGUACUGUCCUAAACGAUUGUUUCUCAUAUAAUGUAAACCCUGUACUGUUCUAAACCAUUGUUUCUCAUAUAAUGUAAACCCUGUACUGUUCUAAACCAUUUUUUCUCAUAUAAUGUAAACCCUGUACUGCUCUAAAACAUUGUUUCUCAGAUAAUGUAAACCCUGUACUGUUCUAAACCAUUGUUUCUCAGAUAAUGUAAACCCAUGUACUGUUCUAAACCAUUGUUUCUCAGAUAAUGUAAACCCUGCACUGUUCUAAACCAUUGUUUCUAAGAUAAUGUAAACCCUGUACUGUUCUAAAACAUUAAUGGGACUUUUCAAUCGAUAAUUACAAUAGAAUUGCAAUCCCAUUUUGCACUCAUAUCUAACGAAUUAGAAAAGAAAUUUUAAAUACGACGGACAGAACCACAUGUCUAUACUAGAAUAGAAAUAUAUUCUCUGGUUUUAAAAUAAUUUCUCUUGUUAGGAGACAAAACAUUCUUGAAUAAAUUUCACAUUAGUUUGAAUAGGUUUAGCAAUUAAAAAAUCUAGACACUCCUUUUCUAAAAUAUUUUUCAAAAAGAUAAACGUAAAAUAAGGUUUAGUUGAUUAAAGAUGAUGGGAUAGGAAAGGUAGAUCACAAAGCUUAUACAAAAUCUUGUAAUAAUUCAAGGGACUGUUGUGUAAAUUUCAAAUGAAUCUCCAUUUAAAAUUGGGCAUGCACGAUUAACAAUUUGGUAGCCUUUUAAACUUCUUUCUGAGAUAUUGGCGUUUCUGUAAGAUUGAAAUGUUUUUAAUUCUCUCAAUAUCCUCCUUUUUUAAAAAAAAUCUCAAUUGAAGAUAAUCAAUUUUAAAAAAGAUAUAAAAGAAUAUCUCACUUAUACGUGUUCAGACAAAGCUUUUUAAAGGCAACGUUGUAAAUUGAAAAUGCCAUUCUUAAAUUAAAUGGGAGUAAAUCCCCUGUAUCUCCCCUCCCCUUGGUCAAAUUGGUUACGCCUGUGAUCCGACCCGAACGAACCCCGUCUUGGCGCAAACCACAACAGAUAUGACUCAUCUAUCCAUCUAUCUAACCAUUUAAAUUCAACUUAUUCAAUUCGAAAUCAUCAGAAAUUUUUUACUUCUGAAAUAAAGUUGUUUUUGUAGUUUUUUUAGCAAUGUCAAAAAGCGUAUAUUUGGUGAUUAAUUUGUAUCUUUGCCGCGUAUGAUGUAUGUAUGGCAUCAGUGUGUACUCAGGUAUAAUCAGUUGUAAGUUGGUAGUGCCGGUGUUAACAUUCCACAAAGUGCUCUGUGCGUUCUACGCAAAAUAUCUGUGCGUUCUGCACUGUAUAGUGUAUACGCAUAUUUUUCAACAUGGCGAGAUCUAAAAAUAUUGUUUUUAGUGAAGAAACUAAUCCGGAAGCGAUUAAGAUUGAAUUGUACCCUGACACCAAUGAAGAUGAAGAAGUUGAAUUAAAAAAUAAACUUCAGGUUCCAGCAGUUCGACACCUCAGUUGGAGAGAAUCCUUAACAGUCCCUUUAGAUGUCCUUCUACCUAGCCCUACCAGUCCUACUGGUCCUUCAGGCCCUUUAGACGAGGAGAUACGGACAUCUUGGAACAGACAGGGUACAUCUGUUUAUACGGCUUGUAUACAGUGUCCUUGUACAUCCAGACCCUCGAACAAUAGCAAGAGAAGACGAAGAAAUAUGUCCGAAGAUUCUCAAAAUUCCAACAAAUCUCUGAGAGUCCAGUUUGAUACAAAUUCUGAGGAACGUAGAGAAGACAGAAGAAAUGAGAGAAGAGGAGCAGAUGAAGUGGACGGGCAGGGAAGAAGCUCUGACAGACAGAAAAGAAGCUCGGAAGGAUUUGACCGGGAAGCGAGAAUAUCCGAGAGAUAUGACCGGAAGGUUGGAGAAAGUGACAGAAGAAUAAUUCAACAGGACUACAGAGAGCUUCAGGUGGCAGAGCUAAGCGAAAAGAUGGAUAAAGGGUCUGAAACCUGGUGCUUUUCUUGUAAAAAGGCUGUACACGAUGAACCUGAUGGAAUUAUGUCAAAGAGCAAAUCUUCCAACUUAGAACUAACACAGGACAAACUACUAAGAAGAGAAGGACUGCAAGUAGAGGAAAGAAGUGGGAAAAGGGGGAAUUCGCGUAAAUCUAGCUUCACGGCCCCGAUUAUAGAUGCAUUUAUCAGGCUCAUAUUUCUAAAGAUUCUAUUUGUUGAUAUUGGUAUCAGUCUGGGGGAUGUAGUCAUGGAUUUUAUACAAGCUAUUAAUCUUAUCCUAGAGGGACCUAGCUCUGUCAGUUUCCCGUAUGGAAUAUGUUUGCUUGUAACCUGCUGGAUUCCUAGUAUAUCUGUUCCAUUACACUUAGGCCUAGGCACUUACAAGGAUAUUUUCAAAACAAGGGGAACCUUUGAAGCUCUGGUUUUGAUUCUGUUGUAUAUCUGUUUGUUCCCCCUUAUUCCAACCCUAUGCUAUAUCCUACUACUGAUCACUCCAAGGAGUUCCUGGGAACAGCGGCGACGGUAUCGUGAAGUUGAAAGAAAGGCACAUGAGAUAAAAUCCAUCACUGCGUCUAUUGAGGCGCCAUUGCAGCUGAUAAUUAUCCUUUAUUUAAUGUUACGGGGCAUUCUUACACUACCGUGGAACGAGUCCACGUCGUCUUCCUGUAUAGAGGAUAAUCUGGGCAGAGUAGCUUGCCUUCCCUCAAUACCAAUGCUAGCGAUCACAUUUUCAAUCUUGUCAAUUAUAAAAUCAAUGUUUGAUCUUAACAUUCAUCCUCUUCUAGCUAAUCAGGAAUGUGGUUUAGGUUUCCUAAACUCAUCUCUUCAGCUAUUUCUGUGUUAUCUUCCAUUUUCCCUCUCCAACAUUAUAUUUAGAAUAUUUGCAUAUUCGUUUAUACUAGUUUACUUGGAUUACUGGUCCUGUAUACCUUUCACUAUCCUACUACUCUGUAACCUUGUAACGUUUGGAUUCUCAUUUACUAGACUUUACAGAUCAACUUCUGGCAGUAGACCGUCAGGGACUCCAGAAAGAGAAAUUAGAUUGGCUUAUUUUACAUCUGGGUUCAACACUGUGGAUAAUCAGCAACAUGAGGAGAUAGGUUGGAACCAGACUAUACUCAACGCAGUACCUGGAGAAGAAAUAGGUUGGGAUCGAACCAUCCUAGCUCCGCAAAAUCUUAAAUCUUUCAAUACUGCAGAUUUGGUCAAGAAUUCGGAUUCUAGAAAGGAUAAAGAUGGUUCUCCUUCCCCGAAGUCCUUAAAGAUGCAAGGAUCAGAGAUAAGUAAGAAUAUAUUUGUAUUCUCUGAACCCGGCAGUCCAUGUAUUGAAGGACCGGAUGAGAAGGAUGGAAUCCGUCCUGAUGGUCCUCUACAGCUCUUCAAUAGAUACAUCUCUCAGAUUAGUUAUGCCAGGAGUGAGAAUUCGUCCCUCCCUCGCGCGAUUAACGAGACAAACACGUCAAUAUUUUUCAAUUCUCUUUCCGGUCUAUUCUUCCCAUCCUGCCAUUCUCAUAUCAAACCAUUCUGCUCAACCCUCCAACCUCUUCCAGCAAUAGACCCUGAGAUAAAUAUAAAAAGUUUGCUGUCCUGGCAGAAUAGAGUUUUAGGACGUCAAGUCCUCCUGUACAACUCCGUCCUACUCCUGGUCCUAGUCCUGGUCUGGAUUCUGGUCACAUUCACCGAGUUCAACUACAACAGCAAUGUGUUGGACCCUUUUUGGUUUUCUAUAGUUUUCUCAAUACUAGUAUGUAUGUGGUUGCUAACUGUUCUUCUAUCUUAUGAGCUCAAACAUCCACUGAAGGAUACGCUUUGGAGCCUGUUCUCUCCUCUCUGCUCGGAUUCGGAAGAAAAUUCGGAAAAAAAUAGGAAUGAUGUAGCUGAACGCGCUGGGUUUGGAAUAAGUAGUUCACUAACAGGACGGGUUGGAAUAUUCUUUAUCCUCUCCGCACUUCUAGCUCUUCCCCCACUUAUAGCUCUUGUAGGUUUCAAGUUAAACAAUUCAACGCAGCCGUAUAUAUUCUUAUUGCAAGACGACUCAACACAAGUAGAUCUAGGAAUCCUUGCCGCGUUUCCAGUUCACGAUACAGGAAGACGACAAUUCAUAGUGGGACGAGUAGAGACUAGUUGUAGUAUAGACGAAAACUCUGAUUUCACCGGACGAAUUCUAGUUGUAAACUCUAGUAGUCCUCUUUGUAGAAUUCUUCUCAGUAGGACACAUUUCUAUAAUAUCACUCAGAGCACUGGAUCAUCUGGUAUUGUGAUACUAGACUCAACACCAGUCAAUAGAUGGAGGGUAUCCUCUCCAUACAAUAUCAACUCUUCAAAAUAUCAACAAACUUAUGGAGUAGAAAAUAUCCCUGUUUUAAUGGUCCGGGAACCUGAUUGGAGAAAAUAUGAUGCUUUUCUACAAAAUAAGAACAACAAGGUGAAUACAGUUUUGGUGUAGAGGGACCCUGUUCUGGUGGAAAAUAUUUAUCUAACAACGGAUCCAUUCUUGAGAAUAUUUGUGUAAAGGGAGAAUGUACACAGUAUGGUCGACGAUGUAUUUCUUCAUUUUUCUCAAA